Molecule: long non-coding RNA, 261 nt
Filed under: Prunus persica (peach)
Lineage: Eukaryota; Viridiplantae; Streptophyta; Magnoliopsida; Rosales; Rosaceae
Description: long non-coding RNA (PPER_LNC002889)
Source: RNAcentral
AAAGAUUUGCUAAAACAUGAAUUAAAAAAACUGAACUGAUUCAACAAUACCUGACUGUACUGUGACCUAGGGUUGGCCAGAGCAAAGGCUAGAAGUGGCCAAUUUGAUUGGAAAAAGUAUGAGAAUUCAAAUUAGAGAUUGAGGAUUCUAAUGGACACAAAAGAUUUGCCAAAACAUAAAUAAACAAAACUGAACCGAUUAUACAAUACCUAUCUGUACCUGCCUUCUAGGAAUUUUUUAUUUCUUCACAUGUCCGAGCCG